UACGUAGGGUGCGAGCGUUAAUCGGAAUUACUGGGCGUAAAGCGUGCGCAGGCGGUUUUGUAAGCCAGAUGUGAAAUCCCCGGGCUCAACCUGGGAAUGGCAUUUGGGACUGCAAGGCUGGAGUACGGCAGAGGAGACUGGAAUUCCUGGUGUAGCAGUGAAAUGCGUAGAGAUCAGGAGGAAUACCGAUGGCGAAGGCAGGUCUCUGGGCUGAUACUGACGCUCAUGCGCGAAAGCGUGGGGAGCAAACAGG
This 253-nucleotide ribosomal RNA is filed under the name uncultured bacterium. Its description in RNAcentral is "partial 16S ribosomal RNA". It matches the Rfam family "Bacterial small subunit ribosomal RNA", at positions 524 to 776 of the family's 1533-position model. The record is from RNAcentral.